Molecule: unclassified non-coding RNA, 977 nt
Filed under: Hevea brasiliensis (rubber tree)
Lineage: Eukaryota; Viridiplantae; Streptophyta; Magnoliopsida; Malpighiales; Euphorbiaceae
Source: RNAcentral
AAGAAGUCAUGAGGCUAUUAUGCAUACAGAAUCCCCAAUAUCAGAACUGGCAGGGCAAUUAAAAUAGUCAGGUCAAUGUAACACCAAAGCUUUCAAUGAGAUGCUAGUAAAAUGACACCCAAGCACACCAAAAGUACAAAUAUAUUUCAGCGAUUCAUGAGAAUUGAAAAAGCUUGGUGACCAUGUAACAAUUCUGUGUCUCAAAAUUAACAAUAAUAGAAGAAGAAGCAGAAGCAGAAAUCCAGAACCAUCAAACAAAUAGAGGAAGAAGCUUCCCAUUACAUUUCUUAACAAAAUGGAAAAUAUUGGAGUGAAAAAUUCAGAAUCUAAUUACAAUACAUCCAUAAGUAGCCACUAUCUGUCCUUCAACUUUCAAAAACUCCACGUGUAAUCCUUAUUUCAUCAAGCUUAAAUAAGCAUAUAACCUCACAUCUAUUUAUUACAAUAACAAUUUUGCCAAACAUAUUUGUAGGAAUUAACUUCAUACUCACUUAUCUAUAUUAGAACAAUUUAUUUCUCCCAAAGUAUUUUUCAGAUAAUUUCUUUUCCCAGAAUUCAAAGUACAUAGCAAAAGGAGUUUAUAAAAGCUUUCCCUCAAAGAUUCUCUCAGAGGGAAAAAAAUGAAAACAAAAUAUCUAAUGGUCCAAGAAGGAUUAUGACAGAGUAACUUUCAAUUAAAUCAUAAAAUCCAAAUUUAUUCACGUGUUUUCCUUCAUAUUGUCAAACAACUCUAAACAAACCUACAUAAGUACAUAAUACCGGCACUACCACCACCACUGGUAUGUUGCAAUACUUUUGGCAUUGAAAGAAGAACAAUAACAUUGCAGAGCAUUUUUAAAGCAUUAAAUAAUCAUAAACCAGUCACCGGAAAGAAGUACAUGUUUUCUUCUCAUCAGGAGAUGUUAAGGAAGCAAAUGAAAAAUUGUAAUUUAAAGGGAUAUCCCAGGGCAAUAGUAAUACAACAAAAAACUGGAGAU